This 253-nucleotide ribosomal RNA is filed under the name uncultured bacterium. Its description in RNAcentral is "partial 16S ribosomal RNA". It matches the Rfam family "Bacterial small subunit ribosomal RNA", at positions 524 to 776 of the family's 1533-position model. The record is from RNAcentral.
UACAGAGGGUGCAAGCGUUAAUCGGAAUUACUGGGCGUAAAGCGUGCGCAGACGGUUAUUUAAGUCGGAUGUGAAAUCCCCGGGCUCAACCUGGGAAUUGCAUUCGAGACUGAAUGGCUAGGGUACGGAAGAGGGAAGCGGAAUUUCAGGUGUAGCAGUGAAAUGCGUAGAUAUCUGAAGGAACAUCAGUGGCGAAGGCGGCUUCCUGGUCCAGUACCGACGUUCAGGCACGAAAGCGUGGGGAGCAAACAGG